GCGGCCUCAGCUAGUCCGCCUCUGGCUGCCGCCGGGCUGCAGGGACUGCGCUCCGAAGCGCCUCCCCACGGGCCACCACCCAAGGACUGAGUUAUGAAGAAUAGGAAUCUGCAACUAUAUGAUGGCAUUUUAUAGGAUCGUGUCUUACUCACAAGUCUGGAGCUGUGGGAAUCCUUAGCACGGAGGAGCAGAUGAGGUUCCCUAGGAAGAACAUGUAGACCAAAAAGUGCAUCAGGCUGAGAGUUAGCAGAGGGAAAGUACCCACCAGAGGAGACAAAAAAGGUAGAGGAGAAUCGAAGAGAUCUGCGUGUGGAAUCCAAAGAAGAAAGUAACAGACCACAGUCGCCGGUAUUUUCUUUCCUCUUCAAAACCACUUCUGCUCCAAAGACCAUGAACCUGAACUGAAGAAACGACUCUUUCCUGCUGGUGUGAGAUAAUUCAGUCUCCAUGAUGUCUUAAUCCUGGGCCUCCCUUAAUUGACUUCUAACUGUGCUGAACUGUGGCUGCUAGGAGUUGCAAUGUGGAUCGCAAUUUACAAGGCACUGGAAUCGUUUCUCGUCCUCAAAUUAGUCCUGAGCCAUACUCGAGAAAGAUUAAAAAAAAAAAAAAAAAAAAAAGGUUUACCUUUCCUGGCUGUCUUGCCAUCUCAAAAUGGCCACAGAACUUACUCAGCUUUGAAGAGACUGGAUCCUCCAUUUGAGACCUGAAGACCCUCCAUCAUGCAAGACUGCCUGCCUGCCUAGAACUUUGUGGAGAGGCUGGUAUUAACAUACCAGGGCUCAUGGGUGAGCAUUCAGAUUGUUCUAUGAGGACGGUACAGUAUUGAUUUCCAGUUUACAUAAGACACUUGCUUGGAAACAAAUUACAGGUUUUACAGGGGCAACACACAUUGGCGUCAGGAGUGUUGGUUCCAGAAGACCGCUUGAGAAUCAAAUAUGCGCUCUACUGUGUCAGUGUCACCUAGGAGCUCUACUUAAGAGAAAAAGUGGAAGAGGAGAAGAAGUGGAUUACAUUUUUAAAAUUAUCAUCAACAUAAAUUGAGUCUCAG
This is a long non-coding RNA of Herpailurus yagouaroundi (jaguarundi), 1048 nucleotides long. RefSeq lists it as uncharacterized. Lineage: Eukaryota; Metazoa; Chordata; Mammalia; Carnivora; Felidae. The transcript has 8 exons. The record is from RefSeq and is a predicted model, not a curated record.